AUGGUCGCAGCAGAUUGGCCUGGCAAGCUUUUCAUUGGUGGCCUCUUUCUAGAAACCAGUGAAAAGAUUCUUAAACCAGUAUUUGGGAAAUACGGUCCCAUAUUGGAAGAAUUCUUUGAAUGGAAAACCAAUAAAAGUAAAGCAAUUCAACAAAUUAUCUUUUCAAAGUGAUGGUAGGUGGAGAUCAUCACCUUCUUGGAGCAACAGCAGCUCUUCAGGAAGUCUAAGAUCUGCCAGAGGAGGUAGUAGAGGAACAAGCGGGUUGCAUCCCUCAUGUGAAGGACUCUUGGAAGAUGGUGGAUACACUCUUGAUCUCAACGUGACUCCUUAUAGGGGAACAUUUCCAGUUAAAAAAGGUCCAUCUUCAAGAAGUAGAGAUCCUCUUCCUAAAAAAUCUGCUCCUUCUACUGUGGCAAGAAGCAAUAGUGGGAUGGGAGGCCAAGCCCAUGUCACUUGGAUGAGAGAAUUAUGGAGGUCCUCCACACAGAGAGCCAGUCUCUUCCUGGAGAAUUGACCUUGUGUCACCAAGAGAUGAGGGUUAUGCAACUAAGGAUAGAAUUCAUACAAGUUUCCGAGACACCAGGGAUGAUGCUCCACUGUGUAGAGAUUAUGGAUACCAUGAUUCUGGUGGUUCUAGUAGGGAUGAACAGUCCUCUAGAGGAAUUUAGUGACUGUGAUGGCUACAGAGUGGGCCAUGGUAGAGAUCAUUCCGAAAGUCCAAGUGGAAGUUCUUACAGAGAUGCAUAUCAGAGUUAUGGGACCUCUCAUGGUGCACCACCUGCACGAGAGCCUUGGAUGAGUUAUGGUGGAAAUAGUUGCUCUGAUUAUAACAGUACAUGAGAUAGAUAUGGCAGAAGUCAGGAGAGUUACUCACGGAGCUGUGGUAAUUUAUAUUCCUGUUUUCAUGAGCACAAUGGCAGGAAGGAAUGAAGGAAUCUACCUUUUCUGGAUAGGGUGCACCCUUCUCCUCGUGAAGGAUGUGGUAGCUCAAGUUAUGGGGCACUUACAGGAAGUGGUGGGGCAAGCCAAGGUGAAAAAGGAGACUGAAGCAGAUAUUAA
RNAcentral lists this long non-coding RNA (1059 nucleotides) under Homo sapiens (human). RNAcentral describes it as "non-protein coding lnc-TBL1Y-9:1". Lineage: Eukaryota; Metazoa; Chordata; Mammalia; Primates; Hominidae. The record is from RNAcentral.